CUACGGGAGGCAGCAGUAAGGAAUAUUGGUCAAUGGAGGCAACUCUGAACCAGCCAUGCCGCGUGGAUGAUGAAGGUCUUAGGAUUGUAAAAUCCUUUCACCGGUGAAGAUAAUGACUGUAGCCGGAGAAGAAGCCCCGGCUAACUUCGUGCCAGCGCCGCGGUAA
This 166-nucleotide ribosomal RNA is filed under the name uncultured bacterium. Its description in RNAcentral is "partial 16S ribosomal RNA". It matches the Rfam family "Bacterial small subunit ribosomal RNA", at positions 339 to 523 of the family's 1533-position model. The record is from RNAcentral.